RNAcentral lists this transfer RNA (71 nucleotides) under Chloroflexota bacterium. RNAcentral's name for it is "Chloroflexi bacterium tRNA-Gly". It matches the Rfam family "tRNA". From Rfam's summary of the family: Transfer RNA (tRNA) molecules are approximately 80 nucleotides in length. Their secondary structure includes four short double-helical elements and three loops (D, anti-codon, and T loops). Lineage: Bacteria; Bacillati; Chloroflexota. RNAcentral also lists the same sequence under 3 other names. The record is from RNAcentral.
GCGGGUAUGGUGUAACGGUAGCACUCCACCCUUCCAAGGUGUCAGUACGGGUUCGAAUCCCGUUACCCGCU